Molecule: ribosomal RNA, 235 nt
Filed under: uncultured bacterium
Lineage: Bacteria
Description: partial 16S ribosomal RNA
Rfam family: Bacterial small subunit ribosomal RNA
Source: RNAcentral
UGGCGGACGGGUGAGUAAUGUCUGGGAAACUGCCUGAUGGAGGGGGAUAACUACUGGAAACGGUAGCUAAUACCGCAUAACGUCGCAAGACCAAAGAGGGGGACCUUAGGGCCUCUUGCCAUCGGAUGUGCCCAAAUGGGAUUAGCUAGUAGGUGGGGUAAUGGCUCACCUAGGCGACGAUCCCUAGCUGGUCUGAGAGGAUGACCAGCCACACUGGAACUGAGACACGGUCCAG